Molecule: transfer RNA, 69 nt
Filed under: Diceros bicornis (black rhinoceros)
Lineage: Eukaryota; Metazoa; Chordata; Mammalia; Perissodactyla; Rhinocerotidae
Description: partial tRNA-Phe
Rfam family: tRNA
About the family: Transfer RNA (tRNA) molecules are approximately 80 nucleotides in length. Their secondary structure includes four short double-helical elements and three loops (D, anti-codon, and T loops).
Source: RNAcentral
GUUAAUGUAGCUUAACAACUAAAGCAGAGCAUUGAAAAUGCCCAGAUGAGCCUACCAGCUCCAUAAACA